Molecule: ribosomal RNA, 492 nt
Filed under: uncultured bacterium
Lineage: Bacteria
Description: partial 16S ribosomal RNA
Rfam family: Bacterial small subunit ribosomal RNA
Source: RNAcentral
AUUGAACGCUGGCGGCAUGCUUUACACAUGCAAGUCGAACGGUAACAGGCCUUCGGGUGCUGACGAGUGGCGAACGGGUGAGUAAUGCAUCGGAACGUACCCAGAGGUGGGGGAUAACGCAGCGAAAGCUGUGCUAAUACCGCAUGUGAUCUGAGGAUGAAAGCGGGGGACCGAGCAGCAAUGUUUGGCCUCGCGCCUUUGGAGCGGCCGAUGUCGGAUUAGCUAGUUGGUGGGGUAAAGGCCUACCAAGGCGACGAUCCGUAGCUGGUCUGAGAGGACGACCAGCCACACUGGGACUGAGACACGGCCCAGACUCCUACGGGGGGCAGCAGUGGGGAAUUUUGGACAAUGGGCGCAAGCCUGAUCCAGCAAUGCCGCGUGCGGGAAGAAGGCCUUCGGGUUGUAAACCGCUUUUGGCAGGAACGAAACGGUGUCCGCUAAUACCGGGCGCUAAUGACGGUACCUGCAGAAUAAGCACCGGCUAACUACGCG